AUAUCAAUAAGCGGAGGAAAAGAAACCAACAGGGAUUACCUCAGUAACGGCGAGUGAAGCGGUAACAGCUCAAAUUUAAAAUCUGGCCUUUGCAGGCCCGAGUUGUAAUUUGUAGAGGAUGUUUCGGGCGAUACCUUGGCUUAAGUUUCUUGGAAUAGAAUGCCAUAGAGGGUGAGAGUCCCGUCUGGUGCCUCUGGUGAUGUCCAUGUGAAACUCCUUCGACGAGUAGAGUUGUUUGGGAAUGCAACUCAAAAUGGGUGGUAAAUUUCAUCUAAAGCUAAAUAUUGGCCAGAGACCGAUAGCGCACAAGUAGAGUGAUCGAAAGAUGAAAAGCACUUUGAAAAGAGAGUUAAACAGUACGUGAAAUUGUUGAAAGCGAAGCGUUUACAACCAGACUUGUACACAGAGGCUCCCCUGGCCUUCUGGCCGGGUUAUUCCGCCGUGUCCAGGCCAAUAUCGGUUUUGGUGGCUGGUUAAAGGCUCUGGGAAUGUAUCUUCCCCCGGGAAGACUUAUAGCCUAGGGUGUCAUACAGCCUACCGAGACUGAGGAACGCGCUCCGGCUCGGAUAUUGGCGUAAUGGUUGUCAACGA
RNAcentral lists this ribosomal RNA (591 nucleotides) under uncultured fungus. RNAcentral describes it as "eukaryotic LSU rRNA". It matches the Rfam family "Eukaryotic large subunit ribosomal RNA", at positions 40 to 647 of the family's 3401-position model. Lineage: Eukaryota; Fungi. The record is from RNAcentral.